This is a long non-coding RNA of Cannabis sativa, 2010 nucleotides long. RefSeq lists it as uncharacterized. The transcript is spliced from 2 exons. The record is from RefSeq and is a predicted model, not a curated record. NCBI's taxonomy places the organism in Eukaryota, Viridiplantae, Streptophyta, Magnoliopsida, Rosales, Cannabaceae.
AUGUACCAAGGAGGAUGGAGAGGCCACAUUAUGCAACUGAUAAAAAUGUAGGUGGUUCGUUGUCCAUUGUAGUACUAUGCUAUAUGGAAGGAAGUGUCGAUCACCUACUCAUUGGGAUGAAGUCGGUGAGUGGAGAUAUCUUGGACCCGAUGCAGUCCAAAGAACUAGUGAGGCUAUUGAGAAGAUUUGAACUCGUAUGCUUGCCUCACAAAGUAGACAAAAAAGCUACGCUAAUCCAAAUCAUGGAGAUAUUGAGUUUCAGGUUGGCGACUUUGUCUUCCUUUGAGUGUCACCAAUGAAGGGGAUUUUGAGAUUUAGAUAGAAAGGAAAACUAAGUCCCAAAUUUAUUGGUCUAUUCGAGAUAUUGGAAAGUGUAGGUGAAGUAGCCUAUCAGCUAGCUUUAUUCCCUACUUUAUCUGGAGUUCACAACGUAUUCCAUAUUUUAAUGCUUAGGAAAUAUGUGUCUGAUAUGACCCAAAUUCUUAGUUAUGAGAACAUUGAGCUUCAAACGGACUUAUUUUACGAGGAACAACAUGUUCAGAUCUUGGAUAAAAAUAAAAAAGUAUUGCAAAACAAGACCAUUCGGCUAGUUAAAGUGUUGUGGAGAAAUAACAAGGUUGAAGAAGCGACUUGGGAAUUAUAGUCGCAGAAGCGGGAGCGGUAUCUUGACUUGUUUAGGUAAAUUUUGAGGACAAAAUUUCUGUAAGGAGGGGAUAGUUGUGAUAUCCCGAAAAUUAUAACUAUGUUAAUUUUGGCAUAUUUUAUUAAGAGAUUUUUACGCUUGAUGUCACUUUUUACUUUUUUUUUACAUUUUUAUUUAUUCUCAAUUAUUUAAACCUUUUUAUAUUUUUUAUUUUUCAAUUUUACUUUUUUAAAAGUUCAAUAAUUACAAAUAUACCUUUACCAUGCAUAUGUCAUGUUUUAUCUAUUCUUACACCCCACCUCCUCCAUAUCUGCCCUAUUCUUCUUCUCUUUUUUUUUUUUUUUCUCUCUGUUUCUCUUUCCUCUGUUCUUCAACCUCCAUAGCCCACGAUCACCCAGUCGAAGCCCUUACCCACAUUUUUUCUCAACCUCCCAUCUAUGCCACUAUCUCCAUUUUGUUCGAUAAUCUCUGUAAGUUCUUCCUCCCCCAUUGUGUUCUCUUCUUCUAUAAAUGACCACCACUAGAAGUGGUUCGAAGUCCCCAUCUCCAGCUAAAAAAAAUUCUAAAAAUUCAAAGAAACCUCCUAAAAAUUCAUAUAAAGUUGAUCUUAAGAUGAGUUUGAAGCGCAUUGCUAAGAAAGUAAUGGGUGAUGUUUCAGAGCCAUCUGCUACUAAGAAAAGACCCAUUCCAAAUAAGGUCGAGUCUCGUAAGGCAAAGAGAGCGAAACCUUCGAAGUCUACAAAGGAUGUAAAUUUGGUUUUGUUGUUUUUCAAUUUUUGUUUAGUUUUUUUCUAGUUGUUGUGUUUUUUCGUAUUACAUUUUGUGUUUUAAAAUUUCCCCCCUUGUUGUUCUAGGUUAUAUCCGAUUCUGAUUUUGAGAACGAAAUGCAUGAUGGGAGAGAAAAGCCUAAAGUUAAAUCCAAGAUAGUUGUUGCUUGGAAGUUGUUGCCGGGUUGUUUCCAGAUUGCUGCAAAUCUGCCUGUGCUGAGUUGUUGUCAUCCCAAUGCCCAUUGCUCUGUACCAAAAUUUCCAGAUUACAGAUCUCCUUCUCUUCGAUUCUUCUCCUCUGAACGCGUUGGGCUUUUGACUGAAUGUUGUUUUUGAGUUUUUUUUUUUUUUUGUACAACAAUGGAGGUUGGAUAAAUUUUUUUCCCUUUUUGUAUUUGGAUUUUCGGGAUCUGAGUAGUUUUUCUUUGAGAUCUACAUUUUUUUAGAUAUGAUUUUCCUAGUUUUGGAAUGAAAAUGGUUGAAAAUGGUUGUUGGGGUUCUACAGUUGGGUCACGAAGAAGGAGGAUCCCCUCUGUUUUUUUUUGGCAGGUAUUUUUGUAAAUAACAACUUUUAGUUUAUAUUUUUGUUUAUUUUCUCUA